UGUAUUAUGUAUAGUUUACUAGUAUUAUGUGGGUAUGUAUUAUGUAUAGUUUACUAGUAUUAUGUGGGUAUGUAUUAUGUAUAGUUUACUAGUAUUAUGUAUGUAUGUAUUAUGUAAACUAUACAUAAUACAUACAUAAUACUAGUAAACUAUACAUAAUACAUACAUACACAAUACUAGUAAACUACAUGUAAUAUAUACAUAAUACUAGUAAACUACACGUAAUACAUACAUAACACUAGUAAACUACACGUAAUACAUACAUAAUACUAGUAAACUAUACGUAAUACAUACAUAAUACUAGUAAACUAUACGUAAUACAUACAUAAUACUAGUAAACUAUACGUAAUACAUACAUAAUACUAGUAAACUACACGUAAUACAUACAUAAUACUAGUAAACUAUACAUAAUACAUACAUACAUAAUACUAGUAAACUAUACGUAAUACAUACAUAAUACUAGUAAACUACACGUAAUACAUACAUAAUACUAGUAAACUAUACAUAAUACAUACAUACAUAAUACUAGUAAACUAUACGUAAUACAUACAUAAUACUAGUAAACUAUACGUAAUACAUACAUAAUACUAGUAAACUACACGUAAUACAUACAUAAUACUAGUAAACUAUACAUAAUACAUACAUACAUAAUACUAGUAAACUAUACGUAAUACAUACAUAAUACUAGUAAACUAUACGUAAUACAUACAUAAUACUAGUAAACUACACGUAAUACAUACAUAACACUAGUAAACUAUACAUAAUACAUACAUAACACUAGUAAACUAUACAUAAUACAUACAUAAUACUAGUAAACUAUACAUAAUACAUACAUAAUACUAGUAAACUAUACAUAAUACAUGGAGAUUUCUGUUGUUAUCAGACUGGAGUCACUUCACUUCUUUCCUCCCUCCGUCCUUCAACCCACGUUACCUUCUACGUUCACUGCCAUCUUCAUGCUGGUGUGUGUGUGUGUGUGUGUGUGUGUGUGUGUGUGUGUGUGUGUUGGUAAGUGAGAGAGAGAGAAGCCCAUCUGGUGUCGUAAACUGUCUGCCUCUCUUACUGAGUGGGAUUAUCUUACUCUAAAAGGCUUCAUCAAUCAUAUCAGCUACUCUGUGUGUGUGUGUGUGUGUCUGUGUGUGUGUGUAUGCGUGUGCGUGUGUAAUGUGAAAAGGUCUGAAAGGAUGAUGAUGUUUAACACCAUUUGAAUUACACCCAUCAGCAUCAGCGGUAACCCCGGCAACAGCCUCAUUCUGUACUUGUGUUUCUUUGGUAGCCGUGGUUACGGUUCUGCAGGAGUACUACAGUAUCUGUCUGUGAUAUCAGCUCCAUAGCAGUUUUAUGGUGGUAACAACUAUGCAAGACUGCUACAGUUUGUACUACAGUGGUAUCCAUGGCAACCUUGACUGGGCCGACUGGGGGGGUUAGUGGUUUGUCUCUCUGUCCACUACGAGCUCCACGUGCGCGCACACACGCACAUUGGCACAGAUGCACGGGGUUUGUUUUGGCGCUACGGCUCAUUUCCCCUGAUAGACGCCGAGGGGGAAACGCCGCUCGGUGAUAUUACAGGAAUCAACUCCAUAACAGUAACACCUGCAGGGUUAUGACAUCACAGUCUCCUCCUGCAGCAGCUGUGCUUUCUUUGUUAUCUUUGUUAUUCUUCUUAAAAAACACAGUUGUGUAGUUAAAUACACGUUUAUAGUUGGCUGGGAGUUUAAUAGGGCUUCAAUGGUAGCAUACUUUAAAAAUACUUAAUUUAAAGUAGUUAUUGAAAUUAACUAAGAACUGUCAUAUCAUUUUAUUUUGUGCAAAUAAUUCAUCAAGUCAACAAACCCGACCUGCAGCCAAAAGUUCUGCACUAAUGUUUCUGUGAAAUAAUCCGUGACACGGUGACGCAGACGGAAGUAUUUAUAGUCUCGCCGAUAGCAGAUUAAUGUGCAUCCUGUGUGAGGGGGAAAGAGAAGCUGGAAUACCUGAAGGGUGUGUGUGUGUGUGUGUGUGUGUGUGUGUGUGUGUGUGUAAAAUGAAUGACUGAGAAGGAGGGAAACGAGAGUUAAAGCAAAAAGAGGAGUGGAAGGAGAGGAGGCUGAAUUAGAGGUGGGGGG
Molecule: long non-coding RNA, 2105 nt
Organism: Gasterosteus aculeatus aculeatus (three-spined stickleback)
Lineage: Eukaryota; Metazoa; Chordata; Actinopteri; Perciformes; Gasterosteidae
Source: Ensembl